CCAGCAGCCGCGGUAAUACGUAGGGCGCAAGCGUUAUCCGGAAUUAUUGGGCGUAAAGAGCUCGUAGGCGGUUUGUCGCGUCUGCCGUGAAAGUCCGGGGCUCAACUCCGGAUCUGCGGUGGGUACGGGCAGACUAGAGUGAUGUAGGGGAGACUGGAAUUCCUGGUGUAGCGGUGAAAUGCGCAGAUAUCAGGAGGAACACCGAUGGCGAAGGCAGGUCUCUGGGCAUUAACUGACGCUGAGGAGCGAAAGCAUGGGGAGCGAACAGGAUUAGAUACCCUGGUAGUCCAUGCCGUAAACGUUGGGCACUAGGUGUGGGGGACAUUCCACGUUUUCCGCGCCGUAGCUAACGCAUUAAGUGCCCCGCCUGGGGAGUACGGCCGCAAGGCUAAAACUCAAAGGAAUUGACGGGGGCCCGCACAAGCGGCGGAGCAUGCGGAUUAAUUCGAUGCAACGCGAAGAACCUUACCAAGGCUUGACAUGGACCGGACCGCCGCAGAAAUGUGGUUUCCCCUUUGGGGCCGGUUCACAGGUGGUGCAUGGUUGUCGUCAGCUCGUGUCGUGAGAUGUUGGGUUAAGUCCCGCAACGAGCGCAACCCUCGUUCCAUGUUGCCAGCGCGUAAUGGCGGGGACUCAUGGGAGACUGCCGGGGUCAACUCGGAGGAAGGUGGGGACGACGUCAAAUCAUCAUGCCCCUUAUGUCUUGGGCUUCACGCAUGCUACAAUGGCCGGUACAAAGGGUUGCGAUACUGUGAGGUGGAGCUAAUCCCAAAAAGCCGGUCUCAGUUCGGAUUGGGGUCUGCAACUCGACCCCAUGAAGUCGGAGUCGCUAGUAAUCGCAGAUCAGCAACGCUGCGGUGAAUACGUUCCCGGGCCUUGUACACACCGCCCGUCAAGUCACGAAAGUUGGUAACACCCGAAGCCGGUGGCCUAACCCCUUGUGGGAGGGAGCCGUCGAAGGUGGGACUGGCGAUUGGGACUAAGUCGUAACAAGGUAAC
Molecule: ribosomal RNA, 999 nt
Filed under: Micrococcaceae bacterium
Lineage: Bacteria; Bacillati; Actinomycetota; Actinomycetes; Micrococcales; Micrococcaceae
Description: bacterial SSU rRNA
Rfam family: Bacterial small subunit ribosomal RNA
Source: RNAcentral